This 1074-nucleotide long non-coding RNA is filed under the name Equus caballus (horse). RNAcentral describes it as "lncRNA (ENSECAG00000053187.1)". The record is from RNAcentral. Lineage: Eukaryota; Metazoa; Chordata; Mammalia; Perissodactyla; Equidae.
CUUGAUUAUUGGUGGUCUGGUCGAAGCUUUAAGGGGAGUGAAAUAUCUCAUCAGGAUCCAGUGUGGUCCCUUAUCUUUGGAAAUGAAAGCAUCCUUGUUGUUUUGCCGCAGCAGAAAAUGAGGGGAGGUGACUGUUGCAGAGGAGAAGACCCCGGUGCUUAGCAACCAAGAGCAGACACAGCCUCUGGUCGCAUCCUGACUUAAGCAAACCAGUUGUAAGACACAUACAGGGGCAUGGCGGAAAUGCGACACAGACAGAUAGCAGACAAAUCGGGGAGUUAUUCGUUGUGUCAGAAAAACAGCAAGAAAAUACAGCAACAUUUUAUUAAAUAAGGCGCUCUCUGCAUCCUCUGGAGCCGUGGCUAAGGGAGCGAGGACUAGUCGAGAGACGGGAUUUGACUCACCAGCCACUGACCAACCGGGAACGAGCCCAACUGGCUUCUGCGUUUUUGAUGAGAUUUCGAGGCCUUUAAGGACUUCAAAGGCGAAUAGGUUUUAAAGUUACAGGAAUGAAAGUAAUAACUGGCUAAUAUUCAAAGGUGAGAAAGACUUGGUGAAUGGAUUGUAAACGACUUUUCUUGUUGAAGACGCUGAGUGUGACUCGAGGUCAUCGUUUCAACCUCAGGGACAACUGCCCCUGACUACAUCGUGGAUGCAGAUGAUGUGGAUGCAGAUGUCGUGGACGCAGACGUCUGUGGACGUAGACGUCGCGGAUGCAGAUGUCUGUGCCACCCGCCUCGGGGACUAUUGGGAAACACAGGAGACAAGGCUGAAGGUAUACCGCCUCCAGGAAAGCAGUUAACGAUAUCAAUUUUUUUACUUGUUUGCUCUUUAAUUUUAAAAAGGAAUGCGUCAUACUUGGUGAUAAUAUUGUACAUGAAAGUGUUAACUGCAGCCGGAUGGAAGAAAACCAAAAGAGCAAACUUGAACUGGAAUAAAAAAAAUCUGUACCUCUGUCCUUAGCAAGAAUAUUCCCACACCAUUCCCCAAAGCUAUCAUCUAUCCAUUACUUAAAAUUCUACAGAAAAAAUUUGACCACUGUCUAUGAAAAGGUAGAGAAUUAUUAUUAAAACA